Glycine soja is the source of this 979-nucleotide long non-coding RNA. RefSeq lists it as uncharacterized. The record is from RefSeq and is a predicted model, not a curated record. NCBI's taxonomy places the organism in Eukaryota, Viridiplantae, Streptophyta, Magnoliopsida, Fabales, Fabaceae. The transcript has 7 exons.
AGUCCAAACAACCCAAAAUUAAAGCAAAAGACAAUGAAGCAAUGAUCCAUUCCAUUUUGGGUGAGAUAUUUAGGCAGCAAGUGCAAAGUGCAGUAUUGUCCAAUUGGGAAAUAGAAAUAUAGAUUGAUUUAUAUGGUGAGGAUGGGUUUGGCCUGCUAAUUGUGGCGUGGGCACGAGCCUCUCACGUGACCCAAUCGACGGUCCUGGAAUUGCCCAUAACCCCCCGCCACGUCAGAAUCUCCGGCGAAAGCCACCGCGUCUCCGCCACCUCCGACCUACGCCCCGCGGGAUCCUUCUGGAUCUACGUUGUCCCCCUCGAAACCACCAACAAUGAGAACCUCGAAGCCCUUUACUGACAAGCACGGGAUGCUUAUUAUAGUGGUCACCCUCUCAUAGUUGAUGACAUGUUUGAUAGAGUAGAGGUGAGUUAAGGCUGAGAUGGUUUGGUUCAAAGUCAGUUGUCAAGUCUCCUCGGUGCAGUAUAAGGAGGCAAUCCACAUUUGCUGAUGCUGAGCUAAGGUGCUUCAUGGCCUUUGGAGGAAUGACUUGACGGCACUAAAAGGUGCAUGUCCAAAUUGUGGAGAAGAGGUAUUUGCAUUUGUGAGAAUGGACAGGAAUAUUGAGUCACCUCACAGAGCAGAUUGUCAUGUGUGUGAAUGCAUAUUAGAAUUUCGCACAAAAGUUGAGCAAUCAGUAUCGAGAUUUGGUAGACAGUGGGUUUAUGGGCAUAUUUAUCUUGUUUCACUAAGGCAGAUCCCGACGCCAAUAACAGCUGUGAAUUUUCUUCCGAUUUGUUUGUGUAGUUAUAUGUUAUGCAAGACUGAGUAUUGAAUUCUCAUGACAAUUGAUGCUCAUGUAAAGCAGAAUCCCGAUUAUCAUGUAUACAAGAUGAGCUCUGUAUUUUUUAUACUUUUGUAUCUUGUAGAAACACUUGUGAUCAAAUAUGAAAUGUCAGAAACAGAGUUAUACUCCCACUUUA